UGCCUAAGCUCUGGCAGAAGGGAAGGAAGCCAAUUUAUUAUCACUCCCUGCUUUAUACUGUGUCAGUUCAUGUGAAUGUUUCAUUUGCUUUUUCACAUGAACUGCCACAGCAUGGGUUAAAUGGAGAGCUCUGUAGUCAUGGUGCUAAGGAUUCUCAUUAGCAUCAGUUGGGGAGUCAUUUGGGCAAAACAAACCUCUGUGUAUUCCCACUGCUCCUACACCAAGGAUCCAUUUGGCCUAUUGUUUGCACAGAGCGCCCUUGUUCUUGUUGCUUUGGCUAUAGCAUUUUAUGCCAUGCUUCCUUAACUACAAAUCAAGCUGACCAUGGAGCUCCCAUAUCCAGCAUAUAUUACUAGAAUGGAUCCAGAGGCUUUCAAGCCCAGCUGGAUGUGGGUUUUAUUUCUCUAGUCAGCAUUCUCUGGUUUUGCAUGAUCAAUCCAGAAGGACACAUAGGGAUUUGUUCUCCUGCAUGGAAAGCUUUUGGUGGAUAAGUCUAAUCAGUUACAGAAAUUAAGAGAACAAUUACAUCCAGUACUGCAUUGUAUCAGAAUAUCUCCAUGCCAGCCUUGAAGAAGGUGUGAAGGGACAGAACUCUGUCCUGAGAAAGUAAAAGUCUUGAGAAAGAAAUUCAAAAUAAUCCAGCCUUGAAUUUGUAUGGAAUGGCAGGGGAGUCAGAGAAAAACUCUGGCAGGCUGUCCAGAUUCUGUAUAACAAUUACCCGCCUUCCUGGAUGCUUUGCCCUGUCCUACCUUGAAAGACUGACACAGAGUGAACUCUCUUCUGUUCAAAACCUGAACGUACUUUUGUUAGAACAGAAAAUGGAUAUCCUGCCCUAAAUGUAAGGGUGGUUUUCAUUUUUGUCACUUUAUUAUCACUAUGAUCUUUGUUUCAGAAAAGCAACUUUCUGGAAAUGUUUUUAGAGGAGAAAGUUCAGUAGAGAACAGAAAUGUGAAGGACAUUUGCUAUACCAGGUUCUGGAGAAAAGUAUUGCUCCUUGCUCUUCCUACCAUCUUCAUGGAUGAGUCUGGAAGUGACAUUGGUUAUUUGUUUGCUUAAAAUAUUUCUUGGCCAAGUUUAAAUGCAAAAAGAAUGCUGGCCUUUACAAGCAACUAGUCUGAAUGAAUAACCCAGAAGGAUGUUAGAUCUGUAGCUCUUUCAGUCUAAACAGAUGAAAAUAGUGGGGAAAGUAUGUGCAGAAAGGCAUGAACAGAAAACAGAUUUUAGAAACAGGAAAAAAAAGCAUGGGGAUUCAUCAAGACCCUAGACAAUUACCCCUGUAUAUAAUCCAUAUGGGGGCAAAUUAUGCUCCCAAGAACAAGUGCGUGUCUACCGUAUAAAACUACAGCAUUUUUAGAAGAACCUGAAACUCAAAUGAUCCUUCUAAUCCAUAGCAGAAGACUUGAAAUGGAAAAAGAAUAUUGCAGCCAGAUAUCUGGCUGUGUAAAUGGUAUUGAAAAUACAGGUUUGGUUUCCUGAACUGUGGCCACAGUAGCAGUGAUAAAGACUGGGAAGAAUGCAUUGAGCCAAAGCAUGUCAAAUAUGAUCGGAAUAACUUUCAACUGUGGAACCACAACAGAAUAAGAAAGUCAGAUAAAAAAUUGUGCAUUGCAGGAAUAAGACAGUAACUAAAAUGAAGAGCUGGGAAAUCAUAAAUGAAACAUGAAUACUGGGAAAAUUGCAGAGCAGAUUAAAGAUUGAUCAGAUUGUAAAUAUUUGGUGAUAAGAUAGAUAUUACUAAAAUUCUGCUUCUAUUUGGCAAGUACAAGUCUUAUCAGACUAAUCUUAUUUUGUUUUUUGAUUCUGUAAUUUCCUUAGUAGAUUGUGGGAAUGCUGUAGACAUAAUAUAUCUUAACUUCAGCAAAGUAUUUGAC
Crotalus tigris (Tiger rattlesnake) is the source of this 1871-nucleotide long non-coding RNA. RefSeq lists it as uncharacterized. NCBI's taxonomy places the organism in Eukaryota, Metazoa, Chordata, Lepidosauria, Squamata, Viperidae. The transcript is spliced from 3 exons. The record is from RefSeq and is a predicted model, not a curated record.